This 668-nucleotide ribosomal RNA is filed under the name uncultured bacterium. RNAcentral's name for it is "bacterial SSU rRNA". It matches the Rfam family "Bacterial small subunit ribosomal RNA", at positions 112 to 773 of the family's 1533-position model. The record is from RNAcentral.
AACUCCGGGGGAUGCUCGCCCAAUCGAUGGGGGAUACCAGUUGGAAACGACUUGCUAAUACCGCAUACGCCCUGAGGGGGAAAUGGUGGGGAUCUUCGGACCUACCGCGAUUGGAUGCGCCCAGGUGGGAUUAGCUAGUUGGUGAGGUAACGGCUCACCAAGGCGACGAUCUCUAGCUGGUCUGAGAGGAUGACCAGCCACACUGGAACUGAGACACGGUCCAGACUCCUACGGGAGGCAGCAGUGGGGAAUAUUGCACAAUGGGGGAAACCCUGAUGCAGCCAUGCCGCGUGUGUGAAGAAGGCCUUCGGGUUGUAAAGCACUUUCAGUCAGGAGGAAAGGUGGCUAGCUAAUACCUAGUUGCUGUGACGUUACUGACAGAAGAAGCACCGGCUAACUCCGUGCCAGCAGCCGCGGUAAUACGGAGGGUGCAAGCGUUAAUCGGAAUUAUUGGGCGUAAAGCGCACGCAGGCGGCUUGUUAAGUCAGAUGUGAAAGCCCCGGGCUCAACCUGGGAACUGCAUUUGAAACUGACAAGCUAGAGUCUUGUAGAGGGUGGUAGAAUUCCAGGUGUAGCGGUGAAAUGCGUAGAGAUCUGGAGGAAUACCGGUGGCGAAGCGGCCCCCUGGACAAAGACUGACGCUCAGUGCGAAAGCGUGGGGAGCAAAC